GGGGGAAUAUUGGGGCAAUGGGGCGAAAGCCUGACCCAGCAACGCCGCGUGAGGGAAGAAGGGUUUCGGCUCGUAAACCUCUGUCCUAUGGGACGAAGGAAGUGACGGUACCAUAGGAGGAAGCCCCGGCUAACUACGUGCCAGCAGCCGCGGUAAUACGUAGGGGGCAAGCGUUAUCCGGAUUUACUGGGUGUAAAGGGAGCGUAGACGGCAAGACAAGUCUGAAGUGAAAUGCGGGGGCUCAACCCCUGAACUGCUUUGGAAACUGUGUAGCUAGAGUGCAGGAGAGGUAAGUGGAAUUCCUAGUGUAGCGGUGAAAUGCGUAGAUAUUAGGAGGAACACCAGUGGCGAAGGCGGCUUACUGGACUGUAACUGACGUUGAGGCUCGAAAGCGUGGGGAGCAAACAGGAUUAGAUACCCUGGUAGU
RNAcentral lists this ribosomal RNA (427 nucleotides) under uncultured Clostridium sp. RNAcentral's name for it is "bacterial SSU rRNA". It matches the Rfam family "Bacterial small subunit ribosomal RNA", at positions 355 to 794 of the family's 1533-position model. Lineage: Bacteria; Bacillati; Bacillota; Clostridia; Eubacteriales; Clostridiaceae. The record is from RNAcentral.